Molecule: ribosomal RNA, 396 nt
Filed under: uncultured bacterium
Lineage: Bacteria
Description: bacterial SSU rRNA
Rfam family: Bacterial small subunit ribosomal RNA
Source: RNAcentral
AAUCAACGCUGGCGGCGUGCCUCAGACAUGCAAGUCGAACGCGAAAGUCCCCUUCGGGGGACGAAGUAGAGUGGCGCACGGGUGAGUAACACGUAGGUAAUCUACCUUCGGAUGGGGAAUAACAACCGGAAACGGUUGCUAAUACCGCAUAAUGCAGCGGCACCUAAUGGUGACAGUUGUUAAAGCGGGGGAUCGAAAGACCUCGCGUCUGAAGAGGAGCCUGCGGCGGAUUAGCAGUUGGUAAGGUAAUGGCUUACCAAGGCGACGAUCCGUAGCCGGCCUGAGAGGGCGGUCGGCCACACUGACACUGGCAUACGGGUCAGACUCCUACGGGAGGCAGCAGUCGGGAAUUUUGGGCAAUGGGCGAAAGCCUGACCCAGCAACGCCGCGUGAAGG